Molecule: non-coding RNA, 24 nt
Filed under: Arabidopsis thaliana (thale cress)
Lineage: Eukaryota; Viridiplantae; Streptophyta; Magnoliopsida; Brassicales; Brassicaceae
Source: RNAcentral
ACGACAUGACUAUGAUGUUAUAGC